RNAcentral lists this ribosomal RNA (491 nucleotides) under uncultured bacterium. RNAcentral's name for it is "bacterial SSU rRNA". It matches the Rfam family "Bacterial small subunit ribosomal RNA", at positions 28 to 513 of the family's 1533-position model. The record is from RNAcentral.
GACGAACGCUGGCGGCGUGCCUAAUACAUGCAAGUCGAGCGAGAAGACGUAGCAAUACGUUUGUAAAGCGGCGAACGGGUGAGGAAUACAUGGGUAACCUACCCUCGAGUGGGGAAUAACUAGCCGAAAGGUUAGCUAAUACCGCAUACGACUCUCGGUCUGCGGAUCGAGAGGGAAAGCGAUACCGUGGGUAUCGCGCUCAUGGAUGGGCUCAUGUCCUAUCAGCUGUUGGUGAGGUAACGGCUCACCAAGGCUUCGACGGGUAGCUGGUCUGAGAGGACGAUCAGCCACACUGGCACUGCGACACGGGGCCAGACUCCUACGGGAGGCAGCAGUAAGGAAUAUUGCGCAAUGGGCGACAGCCUGACGCAGCGACGCCGCGUGGGGGAUGAAGGUCUUCGGAUUGUAAACCCCUUUCAGCAGGGAAGAUGGAACGGGCAACCGUUCGGACGGUACCUGCAGAAGCAGCCACGGCUAACUUCGUGCCAGCA